This 440-nucleotide ribosomal RNA is filed under the name uncultured Shewanella sp. RNAcentral describes it as "bacterial SSU rRNA". It matches the Rfam family "Bacterial small subunit ribosomal RNA", at positions 358 to 790 of the family's 1533-position model. Lineage: Bacteria; Pseudomonadati; Pseudomonadota; Gammaproteobacteria; Alteromonadales; Shewanellaceae. The record is from RNAcentral.
GGAAUAUUGCACAAUGGGGGAAACCCUGAUGCAGCCAUGCCGCGUGUGUGAAGAAGGCCUUCGGGUUGUAAAGCACUUUCAGUAGGGAGGAAAGGAUGUAGUUUAAUACGCUAUAUCUGUGACGUUACCUACAGAAGAAGGACCGGCUAACUCCGUGCCAGCAGCCGCGGUAAUACGGAGGGUCCGAGCGUUAAUCGGAAUUACUGGGCGUAAAGCGUGCGCAGGCGGUUUGUUAAGCGAGAUGUGAAAGCCCUGGGCUCAACCUAGGAAUAGCAUUUCGAACUGGCGAACUAGAGUCUUGUAGAGGGGGGUAGAAUUCCAGGUGUAGCGGUGAAAUGCGUAGAGAUCUGGAGGAAUACCGGUGGCGAAGGCGGCCCCCUGGACAAAGACUGACGCUCAUGCACGAAAGCGUGGGGAGCAAACAGGAUUAGAUACCCCUG